GAUGAACGCUGGCGGCGUGCCUAAUACAUGCCAGUCGAGCGAACAGACGAGGAGCUUGCUCCUCUGACGUUAGCGGCGGACGGGUGAGUAACACGUGGAUAACCUACCUAUAAGACUGGGAUAACUUCGGGAAACCGGAGCUAAUACCGGAUAAUAUAUUGAACCGCAUGGUUCAAUAGUGAAAGACGGUUUUGCUGUCACUUAUAGAUGGAUCCGCGCCGCAUUAGCUAGUUGGUAAGGUAACGGCUUACCAAGGCAACGAUGCGUAGCCGACCUGAGAGGGUGAUCGGCCACACUGGAACUGAGACACGGUCCAGACUCCUACGGGAGGCAGCAGUAGGGAAUAUUCCGCAAUGGGCGAAAGCUUGACGGAGCAACGCCGCGUGAGUGAUGAAGGUCUUCGGAUCGUAAAACUCUGUUAUUAGGGAAGAACAAAUGUGUAAGUAACUAUGCACGUCUUGACGGUACCUAAUCAGAAAGCCACGGCUAACUACGUG
RNAcentral lists this ribosomal RNA (497 nucleotides) under uncultured bacterium. RNAcentral describes it as "partial 16S ribosomal RNA". It matches the Rfam family "Bacterial small subunit ribosomal RNA", at positions 28 to 507 of the family's 1533-position model. The record is from RNAcentral.